Molecule: ribosomal RNA, 245 nt
Filed under: uncultured Paenibacillus sp.
Lineage: Bacteria; Bacillati; Bacillota; Bacilli; Caryophanales; Paenibacillaceae
Description: partial 16S ribosomal RNA
Rfam family: Bacterial small subunit ribosomal RNA
Source: RNAcentral
UCUAAGGUGACUGCCGGCUAAAAGUCGGAGGAAGGUGGGGAUGACGUCAAAUCAUCAUGCCCCUUAUGACCUGGGCUACACACGUGCUACAAUGGGCGGUACAAAGGGUCGCGAACCCGCGAGGGGGAGCCAAUCCCAAAAAAGCCGCUCUCAGUUCGGAUUGCAGGCUGCAACUCGCCUGCAUGAAGCCGGAAUCGCUAGUAAUCGCGGAUCAGCAUGCCGCGGUGAAUACGUUCCCGGGCCUU